Molecule: transfer RNA, 68 nt
Filed under: Camelus bactrianus (Bactrian camel)
Lineage: Eukaryota; Metazoa; Chordata; Mammalia; Artiodactyla; Camelidae
Also listed under: 3 other names
Rfam family: tRNA
About the family: Transfer RNA (tRNA) molecules are approximately 80 nucleotides in length. Their secondary structure includes four short double-helical elements and three loops (D, anti-codon, and T loops). Further hydrogen bonds mediate the characteristic L-shaped molecular structure. tRNAs have two regions of fundamental functional importance: the anti-codon, which is responsible for specific mRNA codon recognition, and the 3' end, to which the tRNAs corresponding amino acid is attached (by aminoacyl-tRNA synthetases). tRNAs cope with the degeneracy of the genetic code in two manners: having more than one tRNA (with a specific anti-codon) for a particular amino acid; and 'wobble' base-pairing, i.e. permitting non-standard base-pairing at the 3rd anti-codon position.
Source: Rfam by way of RNAcentral
AGGGGUAUAGCUCAGUAGUAGAGUGUCUGCCAUGCAUGAGGUCCUGGGUUCAAUCCCCAGUACCUCCA